This 297-nucleotide unclassified non-coding RNA is filed under the name fungal sp. Its description in RNAcentral is "partial internal transcribed spacer region". The record is from RNAcentral. Lineage: Eukaryota; Fungi.
AAGUCGUAACAAGGUUUCCGUGGGGAGGAAGGAUCAUUAACACCCCCCGUGAACCUUCAGUGUGCUCGUACGCUUUGUUAGAAAGUAGCAAUCCCUGAAAUCAUCGCCGAACAGUUUUGAUUCAGGGACUUCUGCGAAUUGUCUGAAAGUGUCAAGGGUGGCGCAGUCACGAUCGCUAGAGGCCGACACAGUCGGCGACCGGGUCAGGGCUCACGCCCCUUAAUAACCAUUCAUGAAAACGGGCUAAUUGUGCGGCCAUAAACCGAACAACUGUUAACAAUGGAUAUCUUGGUUCUC